Molecule: non-coding RNA, 910 nt
Organism: Zootoca vivipara (common lizard)
Lineage: Eukaryota; Metazoa; Chordata; Lepidosauria; Squamata; Lacertidae
Source: RefSeq, a predicted model, not a curated record
UUAGUUUUCCUGAGUCUUCAGAAUUCAAAUGGGUCCCUUGUAUGUUACAGUAUGUGGACGAUGACUUUAGCUAGGCUAGUUUCCGCCUUAAAUGGGAAAUAUACUUCAUGGAUGAGCUCAGUGAGUAAGUAUGUAGAUCUUGGGACUAGGGGUUGAAAUAGUUCUCUUUUUUUUGUAAUAAAUUUUAUUGAAUUUUACAGUUUGAUAUUCAACACAUUUAUCAUAUAAAUUCCCCUUCUGUUCUUUAACUGUUUGCUACUUCUGCUUAGAUUUUGUCUUACCUUCCAUCUUUUGUCUAAGUGCUCUUAUAUUCUUACCGUAUUUAUACCAAGUUUUCUUUCAAUUACAUCUUACAUUUAAUUAUUUUCCACAUUAUUAUUCCUUAAACUUUGCUCUUGUUUUCUUAAUUGUAAGUGUUUACUCAAACCCUGCUAGUCAGCCCAUUUCUUUACAAUGUUUCUGUAAAUAAAGCAUAAACGAUUCUCAGUCUUUCUUAAAGUCUGUAUUGUCUUUAUCUCUAGGUCUUCCCGUGAGUUUCGCAAUUUCUGCAUAUUUCAAAAUUGAGAUGCAAAACUGACUUCCAUGCUGGAGAUGGACCCUGGGGUUGAACAAAGGACAGAAAGCUCCACUUCCAUGAAAUCCUCUGUUGAUGAGCAGCCACCCACUGAGGAAGGACAGGGGGAGCCAGAAGGUGCUCUGGCACAUUUCCUUACGAAUGAGGCCUUAGACCUCAAGGAGAAAGACCAAAGUGCUACCCCUGGAAUAAACUAUGAAGAGGGUAGUAAUGCUGGAAGAAGCUCAGAAGGAGCUGCAGCUGAAAGAAAUGUGACAAAGAAGGGCCCAGGAAAGGAUCCAAAUUUGUUUGACAAAAUUGUGAGUAUUAGGUCCUCUGUGUCCCUUCUUAUCCUAA